Molecule: ribosomal RNA, 253 nt
Filed under: uncultured bacterium
Lineage: Bacteria
Description: partial 16S ribosomal RNA
Rfam family: Bacterial small subunit ribosomal RNA
Source: RNAcentral
UACAGAGGGUGCGAGCGUUGUCCGGAAUCACUGGGCGUAAAGGGCGCGUAGGCGGCGCGACAAGUCAACGGUGAAAGCCCGGGGCUCAACCCCGGGUCGGCCGUCGAUACUGUUGGGCUUGAGCACUGUAGAGGCAGGUGGAAUUCCGGGUGUAGCGGUGGAAUGCGUAGAGACCCGGAAGAACACCGGUGGCGAAAGCGAUCUGCUAGGCCGCAACUGACACUCAUGGACGAAAGCUAGGGGAGCGAAUGGG